This 352-nucleotide long non-coding RNA is filed under the name Homo sapiens (human). Its description in RNAcentral is "HSALNT0176175". The record is from RNAcentral. Lineage: Eukaryota; Metazoa; Chordata; Mammalia; Primates; Hominidae.
CUUCAGUUUCGCAUCUGGACCUUCAAUAUUCACAUCUGGAACAUCAACGUCCACCUUGGGUCCUGAGACGUCAAGGUCAGCCUUGGGCAGGUUCACAUCCACUUCUGGACCUUCUCCUUUGAAGCCAGGCAUGCUGAUCUUGGGCAUUUUUAUCUUAGGCAUCUUCAGGUGCCAGUCUGGGCCUUGAACAUCCACAUCUGGGGCAUUAAUAUCCACUUUGGGGCCUUUAAUAUCCACGUCAGGAACUUUCAUGUCACCUUCCACUUUUGGCAGAGACACAUCUGGGGCAUUAAUAUCCACUUUGGGCCCCUUGAUGUCAACUUCGGGGCCCUUGAGGUCACCUUCCACUUUG